RNAcentral lists this ribosomal RNA (119 nucleotides) under Pteropus alecto (black flying fox). The record is from RNAcentral. RNAcentral also lists the same sequence under 1 other name. Lineage: Eukaryota; Metazoa; Chordata; Mammalia; Chiroptera; Pteropodidae.
GUCUACAGCCAUGCUACCCUGAACACGCCUCAUCCUAUCUGAUCUCGGAAGCUAAGCAGGGUCGGGCCUGGUUAGUACUUCGAUGGGAGACCACCUAGGAAUACCAGGUACUGUAGGCA